Erinaceus europaeus (western European hedgehog) is the source of this 118-nucleotide ribosomal RNA. NCBI's taxonomy places the organism in Eukaryota, Metazoa, Chordata, Mammalia, Eulipotyphla, Erinaceidae. The record is from Ensembl.
UACAGCCAUACCACCCUGAACACACCCGACCCCAUCUGAUCUCAGAAGCUAAGCAGGGUCGGGCCUGGUUAGUUCUUGGAUGGGUAAAGUGCAGGGGAAGAAAAAGGAGAUUCUCAAA